AUUGAACGCUGGCGGCAUGCCUUACACAUGCAAGUCGAACGGCAGCACGGGAGCAAUCCUGGUGGCGAGUGGCGAACGGGUGAGUAAUGUAUCGGAACGUGCCCAGUCGUGGGGGAUAACGUAGCGAAAGCUACGCUAAUACCGCAUACGAUCUAUGGAUGAAAGCGGGGGAUCGCAAGACCUCGCGCGAUUGGAGCGGCCGGUAUCAGAUUAGGUAGUUGGUGGGGUACAGGCUCACCAAGCCGACGGUCUGUAGCUGGUCUGAGAGGACGACCAACGACACUGGGACUGAGAAACGGCCCAGGCUCCUAUGGGAGGCAGAAUUGGGGAAGUUUGUACAAUGGGGGAAAGCCUGCUCCAGCCAUGCCGCGUGCAGGAUGAAGGACUUCGGGUUGUAAACUGCUUUUGUACGGAACGAAAAGGCUUGGCCGCAUAAGCUGAGCUCAUGACGGUACCGUAAGAAUAAGCACCGGCUUAGUACGUGCCAGCCGCCGCCGUAA
This 500-nucleotide ribosomal RNA is filed under the name uncultured bacterium. RNAcentral's name for it is "partial 16S ribosomal RNA". It matches the Rfam family "Bacterial small subunit ribosomal RNA", at positions 30 to 523 of the family's 1533-position model. The record is from RNAcentral.